RNAcentral lists this small RNA (539 nucleotides) under Pan troglodytes (chimpanzee). RNAcentral's name for it is "retained intron". Lineage: Eukaryota; Metazoa; Chordata; Mammalia; Primates; Hominidae. The record is from RNAcentral.
GCAGGGAGCAGACCUUCACUUGGCUCUGCUGACUCUAGCGCCAUGGCCCGGCACCUGCUCCUCCCCCUUGUGAUGCUUGUCAUCAGUCCCAUCCCAGGAGCCUUCCAGGACUCAGGUAAGGUAGCCGGACUGGGGGAAAGUCACGUGCAGAGGCAGAAAAGACCAGAGGACUGGCAUGGGUGCUGGCAGGGGUUGCUGAACGGACAGGGAAGUGGGAAGAUAGGGUCGGGGGUUGGAGAGCAGGAAGUGGGGCUGGGCGGUGCAGGCCUGGAAGUCACAAGUGUCCUCCUCUCUUUCCCCUCUGGCUCCCAGCUCUCAGUCCUGCCCAGGAAGAACCUGAAGAUCUGGGUAAGGAAGAGGCCUUGGCACCCUCAGACCUUAAAGGAGGCUAAGGCUGGUCAGGCCAUGAGGGAGGUGGAAAAGACCAGAAAUGUAGACAAGCCUGGGUCCUCUAUGUUCUUUGUUCAGAGGGGCAAACUGAAGCGGGUGGAGGACGGGCCUUCGUCCUGAGUUACCUGGGCUUCUGGAGUGGGGAACCC